GGGAACGCAUGUUCCAUAGGGGCGAGUGGCAUUCGCAGUGCCGCUGGGCGGGUGCAAGUCCCGUCGUUUCCACCA
This 75-nucleotide transfer RNA is filed under the name Opitutaceae bacterium. RNAcentral describes it as "tRNA-OTHER". Lineage: Bacteria; Pseudomonadati; Verrucomicrobiota; Opitutia; Opitutales; Opitutaceae. The record is from RNAcentral.